GUGCAUUAGAUGGAACACAUAUUCGAGUUAAAGUGCCAAGAGAACUUGCCCCUAGAUUUCGAGGAAGAAAAGAAUGGCCUACGCAAAAUGUGUUAGCAGCAUGUUCUUUUGAUAUGAAAUUCACUUAUGUGUUACCUGGUUGGGAAGGAACUGCAUCUGACUCAAGAAUUCUAAAAAAUGCAUUGGAUAGAGAGGAUAAACUUUUAAUUCCACAAGGUAAGUAUAAUUGAAUAUGGAAAGCUUUUGCAUUUAAGUAUUUUAUUGGACAAAAAUUCAUUAAUUUCCCCCUUUGGUAGGAAAAUUUUAUCUCGUGGAUG
RNAcentral lists this unclassified non-coding RNA (317 nucleotides) under Hevea brasiliensis (rubber tree). The record is from RNAcentral. Lineage: Eukaryota; Viridiplantae; Streptophyta; Magnoliopsida; Malpighiales; Euphorbiaceae.